Molecule: transfer RNA, 72 nt
Organism: Cavia porcellus (domestic guinea pig)
Lineage: Eukaryota; Metazoa; Chordata; Mammalia; Rodentia; Caviidae
Rfam family: tRNA
About the family: Transfer RNA (tRNA) molecules are approximately 80 nucleotides in length. Their secondary structure includes four short double-helical elements and three loops (D, anti-codon, and T loops).
Source: Rfam
GGGGAUGUGGUUCAGUGGUAGAGUUCUUGUCUUGCAUACAUAAGGCCCUGGGUUUGAUCCCUAGCAUCACAA